ACCCUGUAAAGGUUUGGAGAGACUUGAUUACAUGGCAGGGAAAGUAAAAAUGUGGAUGAAAUACCCUGACGCUCAGGUCACAUGACCAGGUGAUAAGGCCUUAUGAGACUACCAGCAGCCCUGCUGGCUCAGGUGCGGCCUGUGUGGGAGGACUCGUGUCUUGGUGGUUCCAGAGAAGCUGCCUUCCACUGUGUGAACCCGGACUGAAUCACAGGCCGCUUUUUGUUCUCCCUUGGCCUUGGAGGGCCUGGGAGGUUCCUGUUGCCCAACACCCUGAAUAACAGAGAGCACGCCAGUGAUCAUAAGAAGAAAAAUUCACAUUUAAAGUUUGGAAAGCAACAGGACAAAGGGAGUAUCCUAUGAAGAUGGUCUCAAAGCACUUUGAGAUGAACAGAAUGUUCUAUAAAUGGGAAUUGAAAAUAAUCAAGACAUUCAUGGAUCCAAACAGGCCACAGAAAUACCAUAGCAACAAAUGAACAAUAAUUGCUGCAUUAUGGGCUCUUUCCCCAGCUGCACUCAUGCAAUCAAAGCUCUGCUGCAUCUUCAGAAGGAGCCCAGGUCAGGUCUGGCUGCCAUCACCCAUGAGGAAGACGUGCAGAGCCAGACAGAUGCCUGGAGGAAAGACACCCCACAUCCAAGCCAGUUCAUCCAAGUCACCCGAUAAUGAUGUGCUCUAAAGAAACUACCUGUUGCAGCAAACUCCUUACCUUACUGGACGCGUAGCGAUGGCCAGCGCAGGAUGAGGCCGUGGGAGGAUUUAAAUGACACAGUCCACCCUGCAAACCAAGGUCAACAAGGCGGCAGGUAUGGCCACAGCCCCUCACCGUGGACUCUGUACGAGCCAAUACACAGUGUGCUAUUCCCCAGUUAUUUCUGAAUACAGCCACAGGGAGAUGUGAACCAGCCCCACUUCCCUAGAGCACACAGAGGCUAGAAGGGAUCCAUGUUGCUAUGUUGGCCAGGCUGGUCUGGACCUGUUCAGCUUGCCAAUGAUCCCAAACUCCUGAUCCAGGCAGAUCACUAAGACAGAGAAAUAUUCCCUUUUCCAGGAAAGCCCUCUGGCCUCACCCUGCUCAUUGAUGAGUCCACUAGCUCGACACACCCAGUUAGUGGGGGCAUCUUCUCCAACGGUGGGGAGGACUGCAGUGGGGGCAGCUGCGGAGAUGGCAGAAUCUUUCCUGCGGGAUUCUGGAAUGUUGUAUCCCCUCUGGAAGAGACACAAGGAGUGAGGGCGACACUGGGAAGGGUGUGGGAGGGAGAACCUUCCUUACUGCCUGGCGUCCCUCAGGGGCCAGUGACCAACCUUAUUAGCCACCUCUGUGCAUUCAACCGCUUCCUCUCUCCUGAGGCAGCCAGAGCCUGAAUAUCUCAGCAAGGCAUUAAGAAAGGCUUUAAUAAUUGAUUUAAUUAAAGUCUAAAAAUUAUAGAACCAGCUCCUAUGCGUUGAGUGAUUUCAGAGCUCUCCUUUCCUUUGCCGUCUUCGAAGGGUAAUCUGGAUGCUGGAGGGUUGCUCUCUGGCUUGACAAACUCAGUUUGUUUCCAUAGUUACAAAACACUUGUGCUCUUCCCGACCCACAAUCCAUCAGGAGGGGU
Molecule: long non-coding RNA, 1593 nt
Filed under: Rhinopithecus bieti (black snub-nosed monkey)
Lineage: Eukaryota; Metazoa; Chordata; Mammalia; Primates; Cercopithecidae
Description: lncRNA (ENSRBIG00000045099.1)
Source: RNAcentral